RNAcentral lists this long non-coding RNA (273 nucleotides) under Mytilus galloprovincialis (Mediterranean mussel). The record is from RNAcentral. Lineage: Eukaryota; Metazoa; Mollusca; Bivalvia; Mytilida; Mytilidae.
GGAUGACACAAACUUAUCAAUAAUUUCUGCUGUUAAUCCUUACCAUGUAAAAACAGAUAAAGCGUACGAUGUAUUUAUUCUAGUCUUACAUGGAAGAGCGAUCUUUCAAUGGUAUUUUUAUUCUGAUUUUAUUUCGAUUUCACGACAAUGUUCAUUCCAGAUAAUAAUUACUAAUUACAUCAUAUUUCUAAAUCAUACUUCAGACACAAAUCUUCUCGCAGCUGCUUACUAUUUAAUUCAACAAAUAUAUGCCAUAGUAUGGAAAAAACGUGA